Molecule: long non-coding RNA, 369 nt
Filed under: Malus domestica (apple)
Lineage: Eukaryota; Viridiplantae; Streptophyta; Magnoliopsida; Rosales; Rosaceae
Description: long non-coding RNA (MDOM_LNC019165)
Source: RNAcentral
AUUAUCACUAAAGGGAGAAUUGAAAGUAAGUUUCAAUUCACAAUCGAUUUGAAAGAGUUUUGAUCGCCCACUGCCUCGCUAAAAGGAACCUAAUGGAUCGUACACCGUAUAAGGUGGAGAUGGAUGAAACAAACUAAAUGAGUAAGAAUAAUUGAAUAGUUUAAUUAUUUAUGGCAAGGAUGAAUUAAUAUGUUAAUUAAUCAAACGAAUAAGUUCGUUAAAGACCUCGGGAUAGGUUUUGGACCUUAAGGCCCAAUAGGCUUCGAACGUCAAGCCCAUUGACUUAAGUUGUAUGACAACUUAAUGAAUAAUGAUUCACUAAGACCCAAAAGCCCAAAGAACCCCCCAUGGCCGGCCAUAUAGAGAAAG